CCUACGGGUGGCUGCAGUGAGGAAUAUUGGUCAAUGGACGAGAGGCUGAACCAGCCAAGUCGCGUGAGGGAAGACGGCCCUACGGGUUGUAAACCUCUUUUGUCGGGGAGCAAAGAGAGUCACGUGUGACUCAUUGAGAGUACCCUAAGUAAAAGCAUCGGCUAACUCCGUGCCAGAAGCCGCGGUAAUACGGGGGAUGCGAGCGUUAGCCGGAUUGAUUGGGUUUAAAGGGUGGGUAGGCGGAAGGUUAAGUCAGCGGUAAAACGUCGGUGCUCAACACCGGCCUGCCGUUGAAACUGGUCUUCUUGAGUGAGCGAGAAGUAUGCGGAAUGCGUGGUGUAGCGGUGAAAUGCAUAGAUAUAACGCAGAACUCCGAUGGCGAAGGCAGCAUACCGGCGCCCUACUGACGCUGAGGCACGAAAGUGCGGGUAUCGAACAGGAUUAGAUACCCGAGUAGUC
This 459-nucleotide ribosomal RNA is filed under the name uncultured bacterium. RNAcentral describes it as "partial 16S ribosomal RNA". It matches the Rfam family "Bacterial small subunit ribosomal RNA", at positions 338 to 795 of the family's 1533-position model. The record is from RNAcentral.